GACGAACGCUGGCGGCGUGCCUAACACAUGCAAGUCGAGCGAAUGAAGUUCCUUCGGGAAUGGAUUUAGCGGCGGACGGGUGAGUAACACGUGGGCAACCUGCCUCAUAGAGGGGAAUAGCCUUCCGAAAGGGAGAUUAAUACCGCAUAAGAUUGUAGUACCGCAUGGUACAGCAAUUAAAGGAGCAAUCCGCUAUGAGAUGGGCCCGCGGCGCAUUAGCUAGUUGGUGAGGUAACGGCUCACCAAGGAGACGAUGCGUAGCCGACCUGAGAGGGUGAUCGGCAACAUUGGGACUGAGACACGGCCCAGACUCCGACGGGAGGCAGCAGUGGGGAAUAUUGCACAAUGGGGGAAACCCUGAUGCAGCAACGCCGCGUGAGUGAUGACGGCCUUCGGGUUGUAAAGCUCUGUCUUCAGGGACGAUAAUGACGGUACCUGAGGAGGAAGCCACGGCUAACUACGUGCCAGCCGCCGCAGUAA
RNAcentral lists this ribosomal RNA (480 nucleotides) under uncultured bacterium. RNAcentral describes it as "partial 16S ribosomal RNA". It matches the Rfam family "Bacterial small subunit ribosomal RNA", at positions 28 to 523 of the family's 1533-position model. The record is from RNAcentral.